Molecule: ribosomal RNA, 2912 nt
Filed under: Aliarcobacter cibarius
Lineage: Bacteria; Pseudomonadati; Campylobacterota; Epsilonproteobacteria; Campylobacterales; Arcobacteraceae
Description: Arcobacter cibarius 23S ribosomal RNA
Rfam family: Bacterial large subunit ribosomal RNA
Source: RNAcentral
AUAAGCUAUUAAGGGCUAAUGGUGGAUGCCUUGACUGUAAGAGGCGAUGAAAGACGUAUUAGGCUGCGAUAAGCCUCGGGGAGCUGCCAAAGAGCUUUGAUCCGGGGAUUUCUGAAUGGGGCAACCCAAUAUAAUGAGAAUUAUAUUACCCUACGGGGAGCGAACCUGGUGAAGUGAAACAUCUCAGUAGCCAGAGGAAGAGAAAUCAAUUGAGAUUCCGUCAGUAGCGGCGAGCGAACGCGGAUUAGGACAAACCCAAUGCUUGCAUUGGGGGUUGUAGGACUAUAAUGUGUAGUUAAAGAGAAUAGAUGAAUUAGUUGGAAAGCUAGAGCAUAGAAGGUGAUACUCCUGUAAUUAAAAUUCUCAAUAACGCUAAUAGUAUCCUGAGUAGGUCGGAACACGUGAUAUUUUGACUGAAGCUGGGGGGCCCACCCUCCAAUCCUAAAUACUACUUACAGAUCGAUAGUGAACAAGUACCGUGAGGGAAAGGUGAAAAGUACUGCAGCGAGCAGAGUGAAAUAGAACCUGAAACCAUUAGCUUACAAUCAUUCAGAGCCCUAUGAUUUAUCAGGGUGAUGGACUGCCUUUUGCAUAAUGAGCCUGCGAGUUGUGGUGUCUGGCAAGGUUAAGCCAAGUGCGAAGCCGUAGCGAAAGCGAGUCUUAAUAGGGCGACAUAGUCAGAUGCUGCAGACCCGAAACGAAGUGAUCUAUCCAUGAGCAGGUUGAAGCUGGUGUAAGAGCCAGUGGAGGACCGAACCCGCUGACGUUGAAAAGUCUUGGGAUGACUUGUGGAUAGGGGUGAAAGGCCAAUCAAACUUCGUGAUAGCUGGUUCUCUCCGAAAUAUAUUUAGGUAUAGCCUUGUGUUGUAGCAUAUAGGGGUAGAGCACUGAAUGGGCUAGGGCUGCUUACCGCGGUACCAAACCCUAUCAAACUAUGAAUACUAUAUGUGGAAUCACAGGAGUCAGGCGGUGGGUGAUAAAAUCCGUCGUCAAGAGGGGAACAACCCAGACUAACAGCUAAGGUCCCUAAGUUACAUCUAAGUGGAAAACGAUGUGGAGUUACUGUGACAACCAGGAGGUUGGCUUAGAAGCAGCCAUCCUUUAAAGAAAGCGUAACAGCUCACUGGUCUAGUGAUUCUGCGCGGAAAAUAUAACGGGGCUAAGAUGUACACCGAAGCUUUAGAUUCAAUUUUUAAUUGAGUGGUAGGAGAGCGUUCUAUUCAGCGUUGAAGGUAUACCGGUAAGGAGUGCUGGAGCGGAUAGAAGUGAGCAUGCAGGCAUGAGUAGCGUUAAAACAGGUGAGAAUCCUGUUCGCCGAAAACCCAAGGUUUCCUACGCGAUGCUCGUCAUCGUAGGGUUAGUCGGGUCCUAAGUCGAGUCCGAAAGGGGUAGACGAUGGCAAAUUGGUUAAUAUUCCAAUACCAACAUAUAAGCGCGAUGUGGGGACGCAUAGAGUUAAUCGAGGUCACGGAUGGAAGUGUGGCUCGAAGGAUGUAGGUUGUUAAGUAGGCAAAUCCGCUUAACGUUAGACCGAGAUCUUACAGGCUCUUGACACUCUUCGGAGGAGAUGGAGAAUCGAUGAUACUGUCGUGCCAAGAAAAGCCACUAAGUAUAUUAUAUGUUGCCCGUACCGUAAACCGACACAGGUGGGUGGGAUGAGUAUUCUAAGGCGCGUGGAAGAACCCUCUUUAAGGAACUCUGCAAACUAGCACCGUAUCUUCGGUAUAAGGUGUGCCUACUUUGGUAUAUGGACUUGCUCCAAAAAGCUAAAGAGGUUGCAACAAAGAGUCCCUCCCGACUGUUUACCAAAAACACAGCACUUUGCUAACACGUAAGUGGAUGUAUAAGGUGUGACGCCUGCCCGGUGCUCGAAGGUUAAUUGAUGAUGUCAGCGCAAGCGAAGCAUUUGAUCGAAGCCCGAGUAAACGGCGGCCGUAACUAUAACGGUCCUAAGGUAGCGAAAUUCCUUGUCAGUUAAAUACUGACCUGCAUGAAUGGCGUAACGAGAUGGGAGCUGUCUCAAAGAGGGAUCCAGUGAAAUUGUAGUGGAGGUGAAAAUUCCUCCUACCCGCGGAAAGACGGAAAGACCCCGUGCACCUUUACUACAGCUUGACACUGUAGCUUGGAUAUUCAUGUGCAGGAUAGGUGGGAGGCUAUGAUGACUAGACGCCAGUAGAGUCGGAGCCAUCCUUGAGAUACCACCCUUGAAUAUUUGAGUUACUAACUGCGAUGAGUUAACCUCAUUCAGGACAAUGUCUGGUGGGUAGUUUGACUGGGGCGGUCGCCUCCUAAAUAGUAACGGAGGCUUACAAAGGUUAGUUCAGAUGGGUUGGAAAUCCAUCGUUGAGUAUAAUGGCAUAAACUAGCUUGACUGUGAGACCAACAAGUCGAACAGAGACGAAAGUCGGUCAUAGUGAUCCGGUGGUUCUGCGUGGAAGGGCCAUCGCUCAAAGGAUAAAAGGUACGCCGGGGAUAACAGGCUGAUCUCCCCCAAGAGCUCACAUCGACGGGGAGGUUUGGCACCUCGAUGUCGGCUCAUCGCAUCCUGGGGCUGUAGUCGGUCCCAAGGGUAUGGCUGUUCGCCAUUUAAAGCGGUACGCGAGCUGGGUUCAGAACGUCGUGAGACAGUUCGGUCCCUAUCUUCCGUGGGCGUAGGAAAGUUGAAGAGAUUUGUCCCUAGUACGAGAGGACCGGGAUGAACCAACCACUGGUGUACCAAUUGUUCUGCCAAGAGCAUCGUUGGGUAGCCACGUUGGGAUGUGAUAAGAGCUGAAAGCAUCUAAGCUCGAAGCCAACUCUAAGAUGAACUUUCCCUGAAGUUCCCAGCAAGACUAGCUGGUUGAUAGGCUGGAUGUGUAAUGGGUGUAAGCCCUUUAGCUGACCAGUACUAAUAGAACGUUUGGCUUAUUUUA